UUAGGAAUAUUGGACAAUGGGCGCAAGCCUGAUCCAGCCAUGCCGCGUGAGUGAUGAAGGCCUUCGGGUUGUAAAACUCUUUAGCCGAUGAAUAUAAUGACUGUAGUCGGAAAAUAAGCCCCGGCUAACUUCGUGCCAGCAGCCGCGGUAAUACGAAGGGGGCGAGCGUUAUUCGGAAUCACUGGGCGUAAAGCGUGCGUAGGCGGUUUUGAAAGUUGGAAGUGAAAGCCCAGGGCUCAACCCUGGAAUUGCUCUCAAAACUACAAGACUCGGAUUCGGGAGAGGAUAGCGGAAUUGUCAGUGUAGCAGUGAAAUGCGUAGAUAUUGACAGGAACACCAGUGGCGCAAGCGGCUAUCUGGACCGACAUCGACGCUGAGGCACGAAAGCGUGGGGAUCAAACAG
This 403-nucleotide ribosomal RNA is filed under the name uncultured bacterium. Its description in RNAcentral is "bacterial SSU rRNA". It matches the Rfam family "Bacterial small subunit ribosomal RNA", at positions 355 to 775 of the family's 1533-position model. The record is from RNAcentral.